This 34536-nucleotide long non-coding RNA is filed under the name Vitis vinifera (wine grape). RNAcentral describes it as "long non-coding RNA (VVIN_LNC001268)". The record is from RNAcentral. Lineage: Eukaryota; Viridiplantae; Streptophyta; Magnoliopsida; Vitales; Vitaceae.
GAAGCGGAAACCAGAAGACUAAUCCAGAAAAAUAAAGUUUCCGAUGCCAAGAAACUGAAUGACAUAAAAAGAGACAUGGCCCAGCUAGAAUGGUAUAAGAAGAAAUCGGAAAUGGGUUACUACGAUUGCUUCAAAAACCAGGGGUCUAAAAGGGACCUCAACGUUGAACAGUUUAGGGGAAACCUCACAAUGUACUGGGAAGACAUGGUUGCACAAGUACAGAGGAAGCCCCAGGAGGAAGGAGCAACAUUUCGAACCCGUUGGUUCUAUGCAGGGACAGUUUAUAGGAGAAUGGUUGAACCACUGGACAUUGCUGCCUUCUAUAGAGAGGGUGGAACAGACUACAUAAACAAUGGAAGAUCUCUUCAUUACAAGCUGUUGCAGCAAUGGUAUGAAGAAGAUGUGAAACCCCCCUCUAGAGAUAAGCUUGAUUCCAAGAAGCAAAAGGUGUCUGGUAUCCUAACUGAGGAUUCUUUGUUUUGGGCACAUGUGGAGGAGGCCAUCUUGUCAUGCGAAUUGCUCAAGAGUAAAAACUGUACUCUUGAGCAGGGAAAAUCAUCAUGGGAUAAUCUAGUUAAGUUCGAGGAGUAUGUAAUGGAACAGAUUAACAACUAUGCAGCGUCCCCUGAGAUUUUCUUGCGGGAAAGCAGCUUCAUGAAAUGGUGGGGACUGUAUGAGGGCUACAUAGAUACUUGCAGUAAUUCCCAUGGGUCGCAAUUGAUCAACUUCAUGAAGAAACGUAGCUAUAUGAAGUAUGGUUAGAGGGGCAAUCCAGUUUGUGUGUUGUGUUUAUUGUUUUGUGAGCGUUCAAUGGAUAAAACUAGAAAGAGUGUGACCUUUUUCCCUUUUUCUUGGUUGCUGCCCAUAUUCUCAGCACUAUUUUCUUCCUUCUUUUCCUCUGUUUUUUUUGAUAGGAAAUGAAUAUUAUGAUGUUGCUGGGAUGCACUUNNNNNNNNNNNNNNNNNNNNNNNNNNNNNNNNNNNNNNNNNNNNNNNNNNNNNNNNNNNNNNNNNNNNNNNNNNNNNNNNNNNNNNNNNNNNNNNNNNNNAGGGGAAGAAAAACAUGUUUGUUUAGAUUCAACUCCACCAAAACUUGCAACAACUUCCCAUUGAAAAUUUCCUUUUAAGCUUCUGACUGACAUAAAACUAGAUAUGUUCCAGCUAGAACGGUACAAGAAAGAAAUCAAAAGAUGAGCACAAGUAGAGAGGAAGCCUCACCAGGAAGGGGCAGCUUUGCAAACCCUCUGGCUCUGUACAGGAACGAAUUAUAGAAAGAUGGUUGAACCACUUGACAUUGCUGCCUACCACAGAGAGGGUGGAAGACACUACAUAACCAAUGGAGGAUCUAAACAUUACACGCUAUUGGAGCAAUGAUGCAAUGAAGAGGAGAAGGGGGCUUUGUCUUCUCAUGCAAAUUGCUCUCAGAGCUCAGAACCUACUCCUGAAGGGAAAGAAUCAUCAUGGAGUGAUCUGGUUAAGUUUGAGGAUUUAUUUAUAUAAUUGAACUGAUUGGAAGCUAUGCAGUGUCGGCCCCCGCCCGAGCAGCUUCAUGAAACGGUGGAAAGAGUUGGAAGAAGUCAUAGAUACUUGCUAUAGGAGCUUCAUGAAGUAUGGAGAGGUGUGGCAUAGAUACUUGCAGUCUCUGAAUUUCCCAAAUCCAAUUUCAGAUUGUGUUUUUAGAUUCGUGGAACUUGUUUUCGGGCUUUUUGUUAGGUACAAUUGAGAUGGGCUGAACCGAAAGGCCCGCCAGGAUGAACAAUAUAAUGGGCCUGAAUUUUAAACCAGUGGAUGGGUUUUGUACUGGAUUCAGCUGUCUGAGCCCAAUGAGUAUUGAAUGUGUUUCUGUAUAAAAUUAAAUUUUUAACAUUGAAAUAUAAGGACUUACUUAAAAACACAUUUGGUAACUUUUUUUUUUUUUGGUUAAUAAUAAAUUUUUUUAAAAAAAAUUAAAAAUAUAUAAUUUUUUUAGAAUAAAUUUGAGGCAUGUUUAGGUAUUUUUUGUGGUAAAGAGUUUUGAGAAGCAAUGAGAAAUAUACAGAAUACUUUAAAAACUUUUGCAUAAGUAAGAUACUUACACGAGGCUUUUAUGAAAAAUAAAUCGAUAAAAACAAUUUUUAUAUUUGAAUUUCAAAACAUAAAACAACUUAGAACUGUUUUUAAAAACUGUUCUUAAAAAUAGUUUUCUAUUAACUCACAUUCAAGGAUGCUUUUAUCUUUUAUUUUUCUAUGUUUCAUCCUUGCAUAAAUGGAGUACAAAGUCGUAAGUUAAUCUAAUUAACAAAUAUAGAUAAUCAUCCGAUAAAUGAGUAAAUUAGGUGAUGAUCUCUUUAUAUAUGCAAGUAAUGGAAUGAAUGUGAUAAAAAAAUAAAAUAAAAAAGUAAGGGGAGAAAUGUUGUAAAUAAAAUGUUUUUAUUGUGGUUCAACGACCUAUCCACUUCCACACCUUGACAUAUUUCACAAUUUUAAAAGUUUUUUUAAUCAUGAUUCUCCUUAUUGUUCUUUAAGUCUGGAUUUCUUAAGUUUCAAUAGACUUUUACAAUCACUAAGAUGACGUUUGUUUUUUCACUUAAUUCUAAAUAUAAGUUAAAACUAAAUAAUAUUUAAUAAUAUCAAGUAUUAGGUUGUUUUUUUUAUAACAUUUUAUUUCUAUAUAAUAUUAAAAAGUAAAGAAAAAUCAGUAUGUUUUUUUUUUAUUUAAAAAAAGUCAAAUAUUUUGACUUUUUUUUAAGCUAAAAAUUUAUAAUAAAAAAUAAAAAAUAAACAAACAAACAAACAACUUGAAGUGUAAAAACAGAUUGUUUUCAAUAAAAAUUUUAAAAAAUAAACACCUUAUAAAUAAAAUUCCUUAACCACUCGUACAAUAGCUUCUUUAAGCACAAAAUGUAUUGAAGCGCUCACAAUGAAAAGAUAAACAAGUUUGGAUUUAAUAUAAUUUUGGGUUAUCUAAUUAAAAAGGUGUAGACCCCCGGAGGCAGACAGUUUUUUUAGUUAUUAUUAUUAUUUGUUUAUUUUUAAUUUUUCCUACCUUUUUCUUCCCAAGCCGCUCGACAUGAUGGGACUAAAGUGGGCUGGUUUUUGGGGCAGAGAGGGGACUCAAGUGGGCGUUUUUUUUUUUUUUUGGGCGGCAGAUGGGAUGGUGUACGGGGGAUGGCUUGUGGAGGAAGACUCAAAACAGGGGAAGGAAGCGAAAGAAAGGCAGGAAAAAAAGUGUUGGAGGACGGGGGGGAUACCUUGCUCAAGGAGAAAACUUUCAGGUAAAAUUUUCUGUGAACUCCAUGUUUCUUCGUUAUGACAUUAUUGUGCUCACUUCUUUUGUUGAUUCCAGGAUGUGAUUUGUUGGUCGGUUUGGAUGUCAUGGAUUAUUGGUUUAUUUUUGCUGAAUUUAUCCGUGUGCGGAGGUGCUCUGUUUGACUCUAUUCUGGUUUCCCUAACUCCUUCCAUAAGCACCUGAAUGUAUGAAUUCAUCCCUGAGCCCGAUUAUAUAAAAAUCAUGCUUUGUUCCCUGUGGUUUCUUCCCUCUGUUUGUUGCUCUAUUCCUUGUUGGUUGUGGGAAUGAGGUCAUCGAUGGCCAGGUUAUCGAAACUGGGGAAGUGACUUCGUGAACGGAUCACCUUCUAUGCACCCAUCUCAUCUUUCUCAUUCACUCAUCACGGCUACACUUCCAUGAUUACACCAUCCUCAGUCAAAUACAUAUCUCCAUACCCAUUUUUCACCUUUCCCGUACCUUCCUCACCUAUCCAUCACACCCAUCGUCAUAUCUAGUUCAUCACUAACCCAUUUUCCUCUCGCCAGCCGUGGUUAUGCUUCGUCCAUCUCAUGCAUACGAUCCCUCACUACUAUUCCUAUAUUCUCAUCCUUCCAAACUCCUCAACACAACACCUAACCCUCAUACCUGCACCCCGCCAUGCCCGCGCCUAGCUCACCCCCAUAGGAACCUCAAAGCCGUUCGCCUACUUGCAUGGGAGCCAUGCAUGCCGCCCCUCCCCGCGUCUUCCUGCACCGGCUAUGUGCGCGCCUGCACCAGCCACCAAUGGCGGCAGCGCCUUCUGGACGUCGCCAGGCCGCUGCCACCUGCUCCGGCAACGCGCGCGCCUGCACCAGCAGCCAUGGCGGCGGCACCUUCUGAACGUCACCAGACCGCCGCCACGGCUCCCCUCUUCCCCGCGCCGCCGCUGCUCCUCUUUUCCCCGCGCCGCCAUGGCUCUCCUCUUCAUCGUGCCGCCGGUGGAGUCUUCGCGGGUGGAGAGGCAAUUGGUGAAGAGAAGCUUUGCCCAUGAUGGUUUUUGGGCUUGGGUUUGAACUGGGAACCCAGGCCCAAGCCUAUGAAGAGAAGCCCAGGUUUAUGAAGGCUUUAAUUGCCUUGGGCUUGCCCAUUAAUAUCAUAUGGAUUGGGCUUGAUGAGGAUGGGGCUUAUUGGUGGAUUUGGGCUUGACUAGGUUUGGGCUUUAUUAGGGUUGCUGAUGGACUGGGUUUGGGCUCUAUUAUUAUUAUUAAUUCAACAUUUAAAAUACUAUUAUUAUCAUUGUUAUUAAUCAAACUUUUAAAAAUCUUAUUAUUACUAUUAUUAUUAUUACGUUUAUCAUUAUUAUUAUUUCUAUUCAACAUUUAAAAUAUUAUUAUCAUUAUUAUUAUUAAUUCAACAUUUAAAAUAUUAUUAUUAUCACUAUCAUUAAUCCAAACUUUCAAAACCCUAUAAUUAUUAUUACUAACCCAAAUUUCAAAAUCUAUUUAUUUAUUAUUAUUUAUUAUUAUCAUUAAUCCAAAUUUCAAAAUCUAUUUAUUAUUGUUAUCCUUAUCAUUAAACCCAACCUCCAAAAUCUCAUCAUUAUCAUUAUUAUUAAUUCAAACUUUCAACACCUAUUUAUUAUUAUUUAUUAUUAUCAUCAGUCCAAACCUCCAAGAUCUCAUCAUUAUUAUUAUAAUUAACUCAACUUUCAAAAUUUAUUUAUUAUUAUUAUCAUCAUUAAUCCAAGCUUUCAAAAAUCUCAUCAUUAUUGUUAUUAUUACCUCAACUUUCAAAAUCUUAUUUUUAUUAUUAUCAUUGAUUAAAACUUUCAAAACCUUAUUAUUAUUAUUAAUUCAAACUUUCUAACUUCCAAUUUCCAAGCCCAAUUUAUAAAAAUUCAACCUUCAAAUGAUACUCCAAAAUUCCGAUCUUUAAAACUCAAUUUCGAUUUCCGAAAAUUCUCAUACUCACUUUAAUCUAUUUAAUUAUUGUUAUUUUGAUUAUUUAUUUCAAAACCCCAUUUCAAAUCAAAUUCUCUAAAACUUCUGAUUCUCGAAUUAAAUUCCUAAUCCCAAAAAUUCUCAUGUUCGCACUAAAUUAUUUGAUCAUUGAUAUUUUAUUUAUUUAUUUAUUUCAAAACUCCAUUUUAAAUCAAAUUCUCUAAAACUUCUGAUUUCCGAAUUAAACUCCUAAUCCCAAAAAUUCUCAUGUUCUCAUUAAUUUAUUUAAUCAUUAGUAUUUUAUCUCCAUUUUAAAUCAACUCUUUAAAACUUCAGAUUUACAAAUUAAAUUCCUAAUCUUGAAAAUUCCCAUAUUCACAUUAAUUUAAUCACUAAUAGUUUGUUUAUUUAUCUUAAAAUUCUAUUUUAAACAAUUCUUUAAACUUUCUAACUUCUAAAUCUAAUUUCCAAUUUCAAAAAUUCCAGCAUUCCAUUCAUUUAUUUAAUCAUUAUUUUCGUCCUUAUUAUUAUUAGUCCAUUUAUUUACUUCAAAAUUUCAUUUUUAAACAUUUUUUUGAAUCCCAAUUUUCGAACUUAAUUUCCAAUUUCUAAAAUUCUAAUUUCCUUCAAGUUUGACAUCCCAAAAUUCCAACUCUUAAAUUUAAUUCUCAAGACUCCAAUCUUCAAAUAAUUUUCGAGACUCCAAUUUCCAAAUAAAUUUCAAAAAUUCAAUUUUCUCUCUAACAGUUUUAAUUCUCUUCGGGUUUCAAAUAAUCUUCGAUUUCUCUUGAUUUUAUAUAAACAUGAAUGCUAUUUUCAUAAUUCCAGAAUAAUGGGAUUUGUGAUAUUAAUUCCUGCAAAAAUGAAUGGGCUUUGGUGGGGGCCCAACAUACGUGCUUUCCUCAUGAUUGAUUGAUUGUUUGAUUGAUUUAAUUGCCAUGCGUGCUUGAUUUUAUUCUGCUCUAUGGCAUGCCCGAAAUUAUCCUUUAAUUGUGCACUAACCUCACUUUUUGAUAAGCGCAUUGUGGCUCGUCACCCAGGUACGUAUCUAUCCCCAUUCUGAUAUUUCCAUAUACAUGUUUUGAUUCUCCUAUGUGCAUGAUAGUUCCGGGUAUUCAUUGUUUUUCCUCAUCAAUUGCCAUGAUUGCUUCAUUUUAUUAGUAGAGACCCAUUUAGGGACUUAGAGGGGUGCUACGGUUCAUACCGUACCUUCCUGAUAAGUAACCUGACCCUCGGACCCGAUCCGGUUUUUCACAGACCACCUUUUCCAAAGUAAGGAGUCACACUUAGGGUUUUUCUUUCUUAUUUUGUUUACCCUUUUAAAAAUAAAACAAAAAUAAGUGGCGACUCCAAGUCAUUUUCUUAAACAAUAAAAAAUCAAAUUUUCAAAUAAAAAUCGAGUCCGCCAUUGAGUGGGAAACGCAUGAGCCGAAAUGCGGGGUCCACAAAAGGUCAUUGAAAACCCAAUUUUAGAAAUAUAACCCUUCAUCAUUUUUUUUAUCUCAUGUUAACAAAAAUGCUCUUAUUAUUUUCUUAUAAAAAUAAUCAUUUCUUUUAAAACACACUAUAAAUACUCCAAAUAGUCAGGGGCUUUUAUGUAUAAAAAAAUGAAUUACUCUUUAAAUAAAAAUAUUGGAGGGAAUAAAUUAACAAAUAUGAGGUAUUUCAUCCCUUUUAUCUAAUUAUUUCUAUAAUUUUAAGAGUUUAAGAAGGCUAGACAAAGACUAAUUAUUAGGCACAUUUUGUAAAAACACUAGUUAUUAGACACAUUUUUCGCUCAAUCAAUCAAUCACGGAGUUGACUAGACACUAAUUAUUGGACUUUUUUUUUUUUUUUUUUAUAAUAAGUGAAAGACAAGAAUACAAUCGACUACUUUGGUCAAUUAAACAAUCAUUCAGUUGACUAUAAACUAAUCUUUAGAUUUUUUUUUUUAUAAUAAUUGGAAGACAUGAAUACAAUCGAUUACUUUGAUUAAUUAAUCAAUUAUUCAAGAAAUUUAGAAAAAUAUUGGAUAAAAGAUAUAUAUAACGGAUUAUUUCAAAUUGAAACUUAAGAUUAUAAAUCUUACUUUUAAUGUUGAAAAAUCAUGUAAAACACAAGUUUUUAUCUUUGAAGUAAUCAAUUUCAUUUUUCACAAAAAAUCAUUAAUAAUGCAUGAAUGAAUUCUUUUAAAAAAUCUUAUAAAAAAUGUGAUUAUUUUUCAUUCCCAAAUACUUAGGUUCUAAAGAUCAAUUUUAAAGCAUACUUAUCCUUACUAUGCCUUACAAGAAAAUCUAUUCUAUACAUAUGAUCUUGUAAAAAAAUGUAAAUAAAAAAAUAAAAUAAAAUAAAAAGAAAAAAAAAAGCCUCUCUUGUUUUCCUCUUUUGACUGGAUAUCAUUACCAUACCUAAAAUUAAAUAUUUAAUUAAAAUAUUAUUUUACUAUCAUCAAAAUUUAGAUUUAACCAAACUUUAGGCUAGUAUGUUGAUACGAUAAGUUAAUUUUCUAUCUUAAAGUUUUAAAAACUUUUGAAAUUAAACAUUUUCUUACACAUUUAUUUUUAAAGUUUUUUAGCAUAAAAUUUAAAAUUGAAGCUUUUAAGGGAAAACCUCAUAAUAUAAUAUACUAGAAAGACAUGGUCAAACAAAUAGAGACGAAGCCUCAAAAGGAAGGGGCAAUGGUUGAACCACUUGACAUUGUUGCCUACUACUAAGAUGGUGUAAGAAACAACAUAACCAAUGGAACAUAUGCACAUUAAACAUUGUACAAUUAUUAUAAAUGUCUUAUACAUUAUGUGUGAAAAUACGAAAUAAAUAAAUAAAAUUAUAUUCAACAUUUAUAUUUGUAUACAAACAAUAUUUUCGAUAGUUUGAUAUAAAAAAACAAAUAAAAAAAUGAAGAAAAGCAUAUAAAUAUAUUUUCAAUGGACAAACUUAUUCAAUUAGUAUAAAUAUCUUGUAUAUUUAAUACAAAUACCUUAUACUUUGUGAAAAUGUAAAAAUAUAGUAUUUGAUAUUUAUAAAUGUGGGUAAGUAAUUUUUCUAAUGGUUUGAUUUAAAAAAAAAAUAAUGAGAAUCAAGAAAUACAUGCAAAUAAAUUAGUGUGAAUGAUAAAGGAUGUUUUUUUACCAUAAAUUUUCAUGGACUUAGCAUCAAUUAUGCAUCUAUAGAUGUUAACCCAAUUAGCAUAAUGUGAAAACCCUUACACACAAUAUAUAAACCCUAUACUUGAAUUAGGAAGGACAAAAAAAAAAUAGUUAGAGCAUUUGGUACCAUCAAUGAUGACUUCACCUAAAGAAAAGUUAAUGAACAUUAUGUUCUCAAUGGAAGAGCAACCCUAGUAGGACAUAUGGAGUAAAUUGAUGCUCUUCUUUCGACAACGAAGUAGCUAAGUCAUGAAAAUGGGGUUUUGCUAACAACAUUAAAUGCAAGAAUUCCCCAAUAUACUGCAAUUCAUAUUCAAUUCAUAGACUUUCAACUAACUACUCUCAAUAACGAGCAAACCCAAGUCAAUACAUAAGAUUGAUUAUUACUUAUGAUAAUUGAAACCAUAAUUAAUAAGACAUAUAUAUAUAUAUAUAUAUAUAUAUAUAUAUAUAUAUAUAUAUAUAUAUAUAUAUAUAUAUAUAUAUAUAUAUAUAUAUAUAUAAAAAAAAUAGAGACAAUUGUGUUUUGGAUCCAGGUGGAUCAAAAAAUAAGGUUUGGUUUAUAGAACUUACAUAAUUGAUGGAAAUGAUAUAAGUUAUCAAAAGACCAAAAUACUCAUUGACCUUUCACGUAAGUUUUUUUGGUCUUUAUUGUACCACUAUUCAUGCAACCAUAAUAAUUUUAUUUUAACUAUUUGGAUUUUUCAUUGUUUUUUAAAACUUUUUUUUUUAUAAAUAAUUGAAAAUCAACAUUAUUUUCUAUUUUAAAUUAUAAAUAAAGAAAAAUUACGUUCAAAAACUAUUUUAAAAAAUACUUUCUAAAAAAAUGGUAAUAUGAUUUAUAUUUUUUACAUUUUCUAUUAGAAAAAAAUAUUUAAUUAAAAAUGAAAAAUAAUUUUUAAAAAUAAAAAUUGAAAACCUUGUUUAGUACUAUUUUUUUAUAUGAAAAUAAUAAAAAUAAUUAAAUUUCAUUAAUUGAUUAUCCAUUAAAUUUUAUAUGAAAAUUUUUUAUAAGAGUAAAAAGAUUCAAUAUCUUUAAAAAAAGAAAAAAAAAACAAAACAAAACAAUAAGUUAGAAAUGAGUAAUACUUAAUUGGGAAUAGAAAAGGGGAAAAAAUUGAAAUUUACACUCAUUAUAUGCCUAUGUAGGGAUUAAAGGUAUUUUAGGGAUUAAUGAAGGAUAAUAUCCUUUAACUUAAUUUUUAUAAUUUAUUUGGGUCUUGACCUUAAAUGUGCAUGAUAUAUGGAUCUUUGGUCAAUUUUUGGGCCCAUUCGGGCCCAAAAUACAAUUCUCCCUACAAAAAUAUUUAUUAAAAUAAAUUAAUUAAUAAAAGCCAUUUAAAGAGUUUCAUAACUUAGUAUCGAAGCUAUUGUAAGAAAAAAGUAUUAUAUAAUGUAGGGUUUAGGUUCAAAGUCUACCUAAGAUUAAAUUUAAGUCUCGAGACAAAUUCACAUUCAAAACUAGGUUUUUAAGUUUGAAAAAUAGAUCCCUUAAACAAAUUAAAUGGUAAAAAAUAAUUACAAAGAAAAUUUCUCUAGCUGGUUUCUUCAUCUUGAAAACUAACGGAAACAUAUAUUAAUAUUUGGUAUGAAAAUUCGUAACCUUAGAAACACAGCUUUGAGUCUUGCUGAGAAAAACAAAGCUUAUUUGCUCGUAGACCAUCGUAGUGGUCGUCAUACCGUGUGAGGACCGGGGAAGCAUCUUUGCUCGUAGACCGGCUUUUGUAGUCUUUCUUUAACAAUUACAAGUUGUCAGGAUUCCCUUCAUCCUCCCAAAUAAUAUUGUUUUUGGUCUUGUUCUGGUUGCAUCUCCGUGGAAGGAAAGAAGAUGAAUCAAGUUCCUUUGUAAGUAUCAAUGUCUCUGAUUCAUUUUUUGGUUCCUAGAAUCGAAUCCUCGCUCUGUUCUUGCUUAAUUUCUCCUUUUUCUGUUGGGUCUUUCACUGCAGGUUUAGCUCUGCACGGGAACUGGCAAAUUUGGUGCUGAGCUCCAAUCUAAUCGACUGUGCUUUCACCAAAAUUCUUGAACUUAAGAGAGGCCAAACAGCCUUGCCUGUUCAAUACAGACUUUAUCAACUGUCUUCCAAGUGCACAAUUGUAGCUUUUGUCUCUUCACCUGACUGCACUCAAUACCCUCUUCCUGGACAAGGAGAUUUAGAUCGGUCUCCUCUCUUUGACUUCCUCCGUACCGAAGAAUACCCGUCCGUCUCCAUUAACAGAGCAGCAUUAGCCCUCUAUACCCCUCUCCAUGAUCAUCUCUCUGGACUAACAGAUGAGGUCAAAAUCUGAUACUUGUUUGAAUUUUCGUUUCCUUUUCGUUAACAAUUGUGAGACACGAAACAGCUUGACCAUGAGAUCUCCCUCAUGGAGUCGAACUACCUGAAGGAUAAGACGUCACACAUAUCCAUUUUCAUGGCAUCGUCACAUGACCCAUUGAUCGGUUGUGAUUCAACUCUUAAUAGGAACACAGUAGAACUGGUGUUGGUAUAUCUGUCUUUAGAUAAGCUUGCAUAUAUCUUGUCACUGAAAAAGGAAUGUUCAGAAGUGAGAUUAGUGGCAUUAUUCUGACAUGGAUUUCAUAUGGUUACUUGUUUUGCAGUUGACUCAGAUUGAAGGUCAGUUAAUCAUCACUGGGCACUCCCUGGGAGGAUCCGUUGCUUCUCUCUUCACCUUACGCCUGCUAGAUGGCAAUUUAUUAAAACCCAAAUGCCGCCCCUUUUGUAUCACCUUUGGUUCACCCCUCAUAGGCGACUUUGGCCUCCAACACUCCAUAUGGAAUUCUUUCUUCCUGCAUGUAGUGUCUAACCAAGACCCAGUCCCCGGACUCUUCCUCCCAUCCGGCAGAUCUCCGCCCACAUCCUCCCAUUCACAAACUACCGGUUACAAGCCCUUUGGGACAUAUCUCUUGUGCUCUGAACUUGGUUGUGCUUGUUUUGACAACCCUGAUUUAAUUUUGGGAUUGCUUAAAGUCAUAUCAUCAGAGGUUGCCGGAGGAUUGCAGGAUGUUGACUAUGGGGAGAUUUUAAGAAACCUCAAGGAGAGGGCAAUCUGCAAGGGACUGCCGCAGGUGGGUGAACGGUUUGCAGAUCCAUUUUCAGCUGGGAUCAUCAUGGAACUUGAGACAAUUGGAUUUAAUCAAACAAAGGUAAACAGCUUUCUCCCAUCUAAUGAUGUUAUGAAACAUGGUUUACACUACACCAAAUACUGCAAUAACUGCCCUAUUCAGAUUUAUCUUCUUGUUCUUUGGGAUCUUCCAUAACUAGUCUCAUUUUUAAAAUUCAUGGCAGUUGCUGCAGCAUAACAUUGAUAUCAACGCUAUGAUAAGAACAAUGGAAGCGGAAACCAGAAGCCUAAUCCAGAAAAAUAAAGCUUCCGAUGCCAAGAAACUGAAUGACAUAAAAAGAGACAUGGCCCAUCUAGAAUGGUAUAAGAAGAAAUCGGAAAUGGGUUACUACGAUUGCUUCAAAAAUCAGGGGUCUAAAAGGGACAUCAACGUUGAACAAUUUAGGGGAAACCUCACAAUGUACUGGGAAGACAUGGUUGCACAAGUACAGAGGAAGCCCCAGAAGGAAGGAGCAACAUUUCGAACCCGUUGGUUCUAUGCAGGGACAGUUUAUAGGAGAAUGGUUGAACCACUGGACAUUGCUGCCUUCUACAGAGAGGGUGGAACAGACUACAUAAACAAUGGAAGAUCUCUUCAUUACAAGCUGUUGCAGCAAUGGUAUGAAGAAGAUGUGAAACCCCCCUCUAGAGAUAAGCUUGAUUCCAAGAAGCAAAAGGUGUCUGGUAUCCUAACUGAGGAUUCUUUGUUUUGGGCACAUGUGGAGGAGGCCAUCUUGUCAUGCGAAUUGCUCAAGAGUCAAAACUGUACUCUUGAGCAGGGAAAAUCAUCAUGGGAUAAUCUGGUUAAGUUCGAGGAGUAUGUAAUGGAACAUAUUAACAACUAUGCAGCGUCCCCUGAGAUUUUCUCGAGGGAAAGCAGCUUCAUGAAAUGGUGGGGACUGUAUGAGGGCUACAUAGAUACUUGCAGUAAUUCCCAUGGGUCGCCAUUGAUCAACUUCAUGAAGAAACGUAGCUAUAUGAAGUAUGGUUAGAGGGGCAAUCCAGUUUGUGUGUUGUGUUUGUUGUUUUGUGAGCGUUCAAUGGAUAAAACUAGAAAGAGUGACCUUUUUCCCUUUUUCUUGGUUGCUGCCCAUAUUCUCAGCACUAUUUUCUUCCUUCUUUUCCUCUGUUUUUUUGUUAAGAAAUGAAUAUUAUGAUGUUGCUGGGAUGCACUUUCAUUGUUGUUCUAUUACAUUGUGUUUUAUUUAUAUCCUAAACAAAUAAAUCAAAACAAGAAAAUCAAAUAAGACUUAAAGAGUCUUUUCCUUCAAAAAAAAAAAUGGGGAAAAAGAAAAACAUUUUUGUUUAGAUUCAACUCCACCAAAACUUGCAACAACUUCCCAUUGAAAAAUUCCUUUUAAGCUUCUGAAUGAUAUAAAACCAGAUAUGUUCCAGCUAGAAUGGUACAAGAAAGAAAUCAAAAGAUGAGUACAGUGGGUUAUUAUGACAGCUUUAGAAACCUGGGGUGUAAAAGAGACAUUAAAAUGGAACCGAUGGGAAGACAUGGUAGAACACGUAGAGAGGAAGCCUCACCAGGAAGGGGCAGCUUUGCAAACCCUCUGGCUCUGUACAGGAACGAAUUAUAGAAAGAUGGUUGAACCACUUGACAUUGUUCCCUACCACAGAGAGGGUGGAAGACACUACAUAACAUUACACGCUAUUGGAGCAAUGAUGCAAUGAAGAGGAGAAGGGGGCUUUGUCUUCUCAUGCAAAUUGCUCUCAGAGCUCAGAACCUACUCCUGAAGGGAAAGAAUCAUCAUUGAGUGAUCUGGUUAAGUUUGAGGAUUUAUUUAUAUAAUUGAACUGAUUGGAAGCUAUGCAGUGUCGGCCCCCGCCCGAGCAGCUUCAUGAAACGGUGGAAAGAGUUGGAAGAAGUCAUAGAUACUUGCUAUAGGAGCUUCAUGAAGUAUGGAGAGGUGUGGCAUAGAUACUUGCAGUCUCUGAAUUUCCCAAAUCCAAUUUCAGAUUGUGUAUUUAGAUUCGUGGAACUUGUUUUCUUGCUUUUUGUUAGGUACAAUUGAGAUGGGCUGAACCGAAAGGCCCGCCAGGAUGAACAAUAUAAUGGGCCUGAAUUUUAAACCAGCGGAUGGGCUUUGUACUGGAUUCAGCUGUCUGAGCCCAAUGAGUAUUGAAUGUAUUUCUGUAUAAAAUUAAAUUUUUAACAUUGAAAUAUAAGGACUUACUUAAAAACACAUUUGGUAACUUUUUUUUUUUUAUGGUUAAUAAUAGAUUUAAAAAAAAAUUAAAAAUAUAUAAUUUUUUAGGAUAAAUUUGAGGCAUGUUUAGGUAUUUUUCGUGGUAAAGAGUUUUGAGAAGCAAUGGGAAAUAUACAGAAUACUUUAAAAACUUUUGCAUAAGUAAGAUACUUACACGAGGCUUUCAUGAAAAAUAAAUUGAUAAAAACAAUUCUCAUAUUUAAAUUUCGAAACAUAAAACAACUCAGAACUGUUUUUAAAAAUUGUUCUUAAAAAUAGUUUUCUAUUAAGUCACAUUCAAGGAUGCUUUUAUCUUUUAUUUUUCUAUGUUUCAUCCUUGCAUAAAUGGAGUACAAAGACAUAAGUUAAUCUAAUUAACAAAUAUAGAUAAUCAUCCGAUAAAAGAGUAAAUUAGGUGAUGAUCUCUUUAUAUAUGCAAGUAAUGGAAUGAAUGUGAUGAAAAAUAAAAUAAAAAAGUAAGGGGAGAAAUGUUGUAAAUAAAGUGUUUUUAUUGUAGUUCAACGACCUAUCCACUUCCGCACCUUGACAUAUUUCACAAUUUUAAAAGUUUUCUUAAUCAUGAUUCUCUUUAUUAUUCUUUAAGUCCGGAUUUCUUAUGUUUCAAUAGACUUUUACAAUCACUAAGAUAGUGUUUGUUUUUUCACUUAAUUCUAAAUAUAACUUAAAACUAAAUAAUAUUUAAUAAUAUCAGGAUUAGGUUGUUUUUUUUAUAACAUUUUAUUUCUAUAUAAUAUUAAAAAGUAAAGAAAAAUCAAUAUAUUAUUUUUUUCAUUUAAAAAAAGUCAAAUAUUUUGACUUUUUUUUAAGCUAAAAAUUUAUAAUAAAAAAUAAAAAACAAACAAACAAACAAACAACUUAAAGUGUAAAAAUAGAUUGUUUUCAAUAAAAAUUUAAAAAAAAACAAACACCUUCUAAAUAAAAUUCCUUAACCACUCGUUCAAUAGCUCCUUUAAGCACAAAAUGUAUUGAAGUGCUCACAAUGAAAAGAUAAACAAGUUUUGAUUCAAUAUAAUUUUGGGUUAUCUAAUUAAAAGGGUCAUUGAAAACCCAAUUUUAGAAAUAUAACCCUUCAUCAUUUUUUUAUCUCGUGUUAACAAAAAUGCUCUUAUUAUUUUCUUAUAAAAAUAAUCAUUUCUUUUAAAACACACUAUAAAUACUCCAAAUAGCCAAGGGCUUUUAUGUAAAAAAAAAUGAAUUACUCUUCAAAUAAAAAUAUUGGAGGGAAUAAAUUCACAAAUAUGAGGUAUUUCAUCCCUUUUAAAUAAUUAUUUCUAUAAUUUUAAGAGUUUAAGAAGGCUAGACAAAGACUAAUUAUUAGGCACAUUUUGUAAAAACACUAGUUAUUAGACACAUUUUUUGCUCAAUCAAGCAAUCACACAGUUGACUAAACACUAAUUAUUGGACUUUUUUUUUUUAUAAUAAGUGGAAGACAAGAAUACAAUCGACUACUUUGGUCAAUUAAGCAAUCAUUCAGUUGACUAUAAACUAGUCUUUAGACAUUUUUUUUUAUAAUAAUUGGAAGACAUGAAUACAAUCGAUUACUUUGGUCAAUUAAUCAAUUAUUCAAGAAAUUUAGAAAAAUAUUGGAUAAAAGAUAUAUAUAACGGAUUAUUUCAAAUUGAAACUUAAGAUCAUAAAUCUUACUUUUAAUGUUGAAAAAUCAUGUAAAACACAAGUUUUUAUCUUUGAAGUAAUCAAUUUCAUUUUUCACAAAAAAUCAUUAAUAAUACAUGAAUGAAUUCUUUUAAAAAAAUCUUAUAAAAAAUGUGAUUAUUUUUCAUUCCCAAAUAUUUAGGUUCUAAAGGUCAAUUUUAAAGCAUACUUAUCCUUACUAUGCCUUACAAGAAAAUCUAUUCUAUACAUAUGAUCUUGUAAAAAACUGUAAAUAAAAAAGAAAAAAAGAAAAAAAACCUCUCUUGUUUUCCUCUUUUGAUUGGAUAUCAUUAUCAUACUUAAAAUUAAAUAUUUAAUCAAAAUAUUAUUUUACUAUCAUCAAAAUUUAGAUUUAACCAAACUUUAGGCUAGUAUGUUGAUACGACAAGUUAAUUUUCUAUCUUAAAGUUUUAAAAACUUUUGAAAUUAAACAUUUUCUUACACAUUUAUUUUUAAAGUUUUUAGCAUAAAAUUUAAAAUUGAAGCUUUUAAAGGAAAACCUCAUAAUAUAAUAUACUAGAAAGACAUGGUCAAACAAAUAGAGACGAAGCCUCAAAAGGAAGGGGCAAUGGUUGAACCACUUGACAUUGUUGCCUACUACUAAGAUGGUGUAAGAAACAACAUAACCAAUGGAACAUAUGCACAUUAAACAUUGUACAAUUAUUAUAAAUGUCUUAUACAUUAUGUGUGAAAAUACCAAAAAAAAAGAAAAAUUAUAUUCAACAUUUACAUUUGUAUACAAACAAUGUUUUCGACAAUUUGAUAUAAAAAACAAAUAAAAAAAAUAAAGAAAAACAUACAAAUAUAUUUACAAUGGACAAACUUAUUCAAUUAGUAUAAAUAUCUUGUAUAUUUAAUACAAAUACCUUAUACUUUGUGAAAAUGUAAAAAUAUAGUAUUUAAUAUUUAUACAUGUGGGUAAGUAAUUUUUCUAAUGGUUUGAUUUAAAAAACAAAUAAUGAGAAUCAAGAAAAACAUGCAAAUAAAUUAGUGUGAAUGAUAAAGGGUGUUUUUUACCAUAAAUUUUCAUGGACUUAGCAUCAAUUAUGCAUCUAUAGAUGUUAACCCAAUUAGCAUAAUGUGAAAACCCUUGCACACAAUAUAUAAACCCUAUACUUGAAUUAGGAAGGACAAAAAAAAAAUAGUUAGAGCAAUUGGUACCAUCAAUGAUGACUUCACCUAAAGAAAGGUUAAUGAACAUUAUGUUCUCAACGGAGAGCAACUCUGGUAGAACAUAUGGAGUAAAUCAAUGCCCUUCUUUUAACGAUGAAGUAGCUAAGUCAUGAAAACAAGGUUUUGCUAACAACAUUAAAGGCAAGAAUUCCCCCAAUAUACUCCAAUUCAUAUUCAAUUCACAGACCUUCAACUAACUACUCUCAGUAACGAGCAAACCCAAGUCAAUACAUAAGAUUGAUUAUUACUUAUGAUAAUUGAAACCCUAAUUAAAUAAAUAAGGACACAAAUAUAUAUAUAUAUAUAUAGGGACAGUUGUGUUUUGGACCUAGGUGAACCCAAAAAUUAAGGUUUGGUUUAUAUAACUUACAUAAUUGAUGAAAAUGAUAUAAGAUAUCAAAAUAUCAAAAUACUCAUUGACCUUUCACAUAAGCUUUUUUGGUAUUUAUUGCACUACUAUUCAUUCAACCAUAAUAAUUCUAUUUUAACUAUUUGGAUUUUUCAUUGUUUUUUAAAACUUUUUAUUUAUAAAUAAUUGAAAAUCAACAUUAUUUUCUAUUUUAAAUUAUAAAUAAAGAAAAAUUACGUUCGAAAACUAUUUUAAAAAAUACUUUCUAAAAAAAAUGGUAAUAUGAUUUAUAUUUUUUAUAUUUUCUUUUAGAAAAAAAUAUUUAAUUAAAAAAUGAAAAAUAUUUUUAAAAAUAAAAAUUGGAAACCUUGUUUAGUACUAUUUUUUUUAUAUAAAAAUAAUAAAAAUAAUUAAAUUUCAUUUAUUGAUUAUCCAUUAAAUUUUAUAUGAAAAUUUUGUAUAAGAGUAAAAAGAUUCAAUAUCUUUAAAAAAAGAAAAAAAAAACAAAACAAAAAGUUAGAAAUGAGUAAUACUUAAUUGGGAAUAGAAAAUGGGAAAAAUUUUGAAAUUUACACUCACUAUAUGUCUACGUAGGGAUUAAGGGUAUUUUAGGGAUUAAUGAAGGAUAAUAUCUUUUAACUUAAUUUUUACAUUUUAUUUGGGUCUUGGGAUUAAAUGUACAUUAUAUAUGGAUCUUUGGUUAAUUUUUGGACCCAUCCGGACCCAAAACACAAUUCUCCAUAAAAAAAUAUUUAUUAAAAUAAAUAAAUUAAUAAAAACCAUUUAGAGAGUUUCAUAACUUAGGUGGUGUUUGUUUUUUUGGCUUUUUGGUGAAAACCAUUUAGUUUUAGAAUUUAGGUUGUUUGUUUUUUUACUUUUUCAUGACUUAUUAUAAACUUUUUACAAAAUAGAAAAAGCCAAAAUAUAUGACUUUUUCUAAAUAGAAAAAUAACACAAUGGUUUUUUUUACUUUUUAAUACUUAAUAGAAAUAAAAUAUUAUAAAAACAAACAACCUAAUAUUUAAUACUAUUAAGUAUUAAAGUUCUAUUUAGAAUUAAGUAAAAAAACAAACACCACCUAAGUGUCGAAGCUAUUGUAAGAAAAAAGUAUUAUAUAAUGUAGGGUUUAGGUUCAAAGUCUACCUAAGAUUAAAUUUAAGUCUUAAGACAAAUUCACAUUCAAAACUAGGUUUUUAAGUUAGAAAAAUAGACCCCUUAAACCAAUUAAAUGGUAAAAAAAAAUUACAAAGAAAAUUUCUCUAGCUGGUUUCUUCAUCUUGAAAACUAACGGAAACAUAUAUCAAUAUUUGGUAUGAAAAUUCGUAACCUUAGAAACACAGCUUUGAGUCUUGCUGAGAAAAACAAAGCUUAUUUGCUCGUAGACCAUCGUAGUGGUCGUCAUACCGUGUGAGGACCGGGGAAGCAUCUUUGCUCGUAGACCGGCUUUUGUAGUCUUUCUUUAACAAUUGCAAGUUGUCAGGAUUCCCUUCAUCCUCCUAUAUAAUAUUGUUUUUGGUCUUGUUCUGGUUGUAUCUCCGUGGAAGGAAGGAAGAUGAAUCAAGUUCCUUUGUAUGUAUCAAUGUCUCUGAUUCAUUUUUUGGUUCCUAGAAUCGAAUCCUCGCUCUGUUCUUGCUUAAUUUCUCCUUUUUCUGUUGGGUCUUUCACUGCAGGUUUAGCUCUGCACGGGAACUGGCAAAUUUGGUGCUGGCCUCCAAUCUAAUCGACUGUGCUUUCACCAAAAUUCUUGAACUUAAGAGAGGCCAAACAGCCUUGCCUGUUCAAUACAGACUUUAUCAACUGUCUUCCAAGUGCACAAUUGUAGCUUUUGUCUCUUCACCUGACUGCACUCAAUACCCUCUUCCUGGACAAGGAGAUUUAGAUCGGUCUCCUCUCUUUGACUUCCUCCGUACCGAAGAAUACCCGUCCGUCUCCAUUAACAGAGCAGCAUUAGACCUCUUUACCCCUCUCCAUGAUCAUCUCUCUGGACUAACAGAUGAGGUCAAAAUCUGAUACUUGUUUGAAUUUUCGUUUCCUUUUCGUUAACAAUUGUGAGACACGAAACAGCUUGACCAUGAGAUCUCCCUCAUGGAGUCGAACUACCUGAAGGAUAAGACGUCACACAUAUCCAUUUUCAUGGCAUCGUCACAUGACCCAUUGAUCGGUUGUGAUUCAACUCUUAAUAGGAAUACAGUAGAACCGGUGUUGGUAUCUGUCUUUAGAUCAGCUUGCAUAUAUCUUGUCACUGAAAAAGGAAUGUUCAGAAGUGAGAUUAGUGGCAUUAUUCUGACAUGGAUUUCAUAUGGUUACUUGUUUUGCAGUUGACUCGGAUUGAAGGUCAAUUAAUCAUCACUGGGCACUCCCUGGGAGGAUCCGUUGCUUCUCUCUUCACCUUACGCCUGCUAGACGGCAAUUUAUUAAAGCCCAAAUGCCAUCCCUUUUGUAUCACCUUUGGUUCACCCCUCAUAGGCGACUUUGGCCUCCAAGACUCCAAAUGGAAUUCUUUCUUCCUGCAUGUAGUGUCUAACCAAGACCCAGUCCCCGGACUCUUCCUCCCAUCCGGCAGAUCUCCGCCCACAUCCUCCCAUUCACAAACUACCGGUUACAAGCCCUUUGGGACAUAUCUCUUGUGCUCUGAACUUGGUUGUGCUUGUUUUGACAACCCUGAUUUAAUUUUGAGAUUGCUGAAAGUCAUAUCAUCAGAGGUUGCCGGAGGAUUGCAGGAUGUUGAUUAUGGGGAGAUUUUAAGAAACCUCAAGGAGAGGGCAAUCUGCAAGGGACUGCCGCAGGUGGGUGAACGGUUUGCAGAUCCAUUUUCAGCUGGGAUCAUCAUGGAACUUGAGACAAUUGGAUUUAAUCAAACAAAGGUAAACAGCUUUCUCCCAUCUAAUGAUGUUAUGAAACAUGGUUUACACUUCACCAUAUACUGCAAUAACUGCCCUAUUCAGAUUUAUCUUCUUGUUCUUUGGGAUCUUCCAUAACUCGUCUCAUUUUUAAAAUUCAUGCCAGCUGCUGCAGCAUAACAUUGAUAUCGACGCUAUGAUAAGAACAAUGGAAGAGGAAACCAGAAGCCUAAUCCAGAAAAAUAAAGCUUCCGAUGCCAAGAAACUGAAUGACAUAAAAAGAGACAUGGCCCAUCUAGAAUGGUAUAAGAAGAAAUCGGAAAUGGGUUACUACGAUUGCUUCAAAAACCAGGGGUCUAAAAGGGACAUCCACGUUGAACAGUUUAGGGUAAACCUCACAAAAUACUGGAAAGACAUGGUUGCACAAGUACAGAGGAAGCCCCAGAAGGAAGGAGCAACAUUUCGAACCCGUUGGCUCUAUGCAGGGACAGUUUAUAGGAGAAUGGUUGAACCACUGGACAUUGCUGCCUUCUACGGAGAGGGUAAAACAGACUACAUAAACAAGAAAAGAUCUCUUCAUUACCAGCUGUUGCAGCAAUGGUAUGAGGAAGAUGUGAAACCCCCCUCUAGAGAUAAGCUUGAUUCCAAGAAGCAAAAGGUGUCUGGUAUCCUAACUGAGGAUUCUUUGUUUUGGGCAUAUGUGGAGGAGGCCAUCUUGUCAUGCGAAUUGCUCAAGAGUCAAAACUGUACUCUUGAGCAGGGAAAAUCAUCAUGGGAUAAUCUGGUUAAGUUCGAGGAGUAUGUAAUGGAACAGAUUAACAACUAUGCAGCGUCCCCUGAGAUUUUCUCGAGGGAAAGCAGCUUCAUGAAAUGGUGGGGACUGUAUGAGGGCUACAUAGAUACUUGCAGUAAUUCCCAUGGGUCGCCAUUGAUCAACUUCAUGAAGGAUCGUAGGUAUAUACAGUAUGGACGUUAGAGGGGCAAUCCAGUUUGUGUGUUGUGUUUGUUGUUUUGUGAGCGUUCAAUGGAUAAAACUAGAAAGAGUGUGACCUUUUUCCCUUUUUCUUGGUUGCUGCCCAUAUUCUCAGCACUAUUUUCUUCCUUCUUUUCCUCAGUUUUUUUUGUUAAGAAAUGAAUAUUAUGAUGUUGCUGGGAUGCACUUUCAUUGUUGUUCUAUUAAAUUGUGUUUUAUUUAUAUCCUAAACAAAUAAAUGUAAACAAGAAAAUCAAAUAAGACUUCAAAGAGUCUUUUCCUUCAAAAAAAAAAAAAAUGGGGAAAAAGAAAAACAUUUUUGUUUAGAUUCAACUCCACCAAAACUUGCAACAACUUCCCAUUGAAAAAUUCCUUUUAAGCUCUGAAUGACAUAAAACUAGAUAUGUUCCAGCUAGAAUGGUACAAGAAAGAAAUCAACAGAUGAGAACAAUGGGUUAUUAUGACAGCUUCAGAAACCUGGGGUGUAAAAGAGACAUUAAAAUGGAACCGAUGGGAAGACAUGGUAAAACACGUAGAGAGGAAGCCUCACCAGGAAGGGGCAGCUUUGCAAACCCUCUGGCUCUGUACAGGAACGAAUUAUAGAAAGAUUGUUGAACCACUUGACAUUGCUGCCUACCACAGAGAGGGUGGAAGACACUACAUAACCAAUGGAGGAUCUAAACAUUACACGCUAUUGGAGCAAUGAUGCAAUGAAGAGGAGAAGGGGGCUUUGUCUUCUCAUGCAAAUUGCUCUCAGAGCUCAGAACCUACUCCUGAAGGGAAAGAAUCAUCAUGGAGUGAUCUGGUUAAGUUUGAGGAUUUAUUUAUAUAAUUGAACUGAUUGGAAGCUAUGCAGUGUCGGCCCCCACCCGAGCAGCUUCAUGAAACGGUGGAAAGAGUUGGAAGAAGUCAUAGAUACUUGCUAUAGGAGCUUCAUGAAGUAUGGAGAGGUAUGGCAUAGAUACUUGCAGUGUCUGAAUUUCCCAAAUCCAAUUUCAGAUUGUGUACUUAGAUUCGUGGAACUUGUUUUCUUGCUUUUUGUUAGGUACAAUUGAGAUGGGCUGAACCGCAAGGCCCGCCAGGAUGAACAAUAUAAUGGGCCUGAAUUUUAAACCAGUGGAUGGGCUUUGGACUGGAUUCAGCUGUCUGAGCCCAAUGAGUAUUGAAUGUGUUUCUGUAUAAAAUUAAAUUUUUAACAUUGAAAUAUAAGGACUUACUUAAAAACACAUUUGGUAACUUUUUUUUUUUGGUUAAUAAUAGAUUGUUUAAAAAAAAAUUAAAAAAAUAUUAUUUUUUAGAAUAAAUUUGAGGCAUGUUUAGGUAUUUUUCGUGGUAAAGAGUUUAGAAGCAAUGAGAAUAUAUAUAGAAUACUUUAAAACUUUUGCAUAAUACUUACUUACAUGAUGCUUUCAUAAAAAAUAAAUCAAUAAAAACAAUUUUCAUAGUUGAAUUUCAAAACAUAAAACAACUCAGAAUUGUUUUUAAGAAUUGUUCUUAGAAAUAGUUUUCUAUUAAGUCACAUUCAAGGAAUCGUUUUCAUAUAUGCAAGUAAUGGAAUGAAUGUGAUGAAAAAUAAAAAAUAAAAAGUAAGGGGAAAGAUAUUGUAAAUAAAGUGUUUUUAUCGUGGUUCAAUGACCUAUCCACUUCCACACCUUGAUGUAUUUCACAAUUUUAAAAGUUUUCUUAAUCAUGAUUCUCCUUAUUAUUCUUUAUGUCGAGAUUUUUUAAGUUUUAAUAGACUUUUUCAAUCACUAAGGUGGUGUUUGCUUUUUCACUUAAUUUUAAAUAUAACUUAAAACUAAAUAAUACUUAAUAGUAUCAACUAUUAAGUUGUUUGUUUCUAUAACAGUUUAUUUCUAUAUAAUAUUAAAAAGUAAAGAAAAAUCAACAUGCUAUUUUUGUCAUUUAAAAAAAGUCAAAUAUUUUGAAUUUUUUUAUUUAGCUAAAAAUUUAUAAUAAAUCCUAAAAAGAUAAAUAAUAAUAAUAAUAAAUAAAUAAAUAAAUAAAAACAAAUAAACAACUUAAAGUCUAAAAACAAAUUGUUGUCAACAAAAAAUUAAAAAAACAAGCACUUUCUAAAUAAGAUUCCUUAACCACUCGUACAAUAGCUCCUUUAAGCACAAGAUGUAAUGAAUGAAUACAACUUUGGUGAAAUAACUAAAGUGCUCACAAUGAGAAAAUAAACAAGUUUGGAUUCAAUAUAAUUUUUGGCUAUCUAAUUAAAAGGGUAAUUGAAAACCCAAUUUUGGAAAUAUAACCCUUCAUCAUUUUUUUUACCUCAUUUUAAUAAAAAUACUCUUAUUAUUUUCUUAUAAAAAUAAUCAUUUCUUUUAAAACAUACUAUAAAUACUUCAAAUAAUCAAGAGCAUUUAUGUAAAAAAUGAAUUACUCUUCAAAUAAAAAUAUUGGAGGGAAUAAAUUCACAAAUAUAUGGGGUAUUUCAUCCCUUCUAACUAAUUAUUUCUAUAAUUUAAAGAGUUUAAGAAGGCAAGACAACUAAAUAAAUGAAGUUUUCAAGUUAUUGUCUCUAUCAUAAAUAAAGUCCAAUAAUCACAUUUGUAUCGUUUUGUACAAAGACUAAUUAUUAGGCAUAUUUUGUAAAAACACUAAUUAUUAGACACAUUUUUCGCUCAAUCAAACAAUCACACAGUUGACUAGAAACUAGUUGUUGGACAUUUUUUUUUAUAAUCAUUGGAAGACAAGAAUACAAUCGACUACUUUAAUCAAUUAAGCAAUCAUACAGUCGACUAUAAACUAGUCAUUGGACAUUUUUUUUAAAAUCAUUGGAAGACAGGAAUACAAUCGAUCACUUUGGUCAAUUAAUCAAUUAUUCAAGAAAUUUAGAAAAAUAUUGGAUAAACGACAUAUAGUGGAUUAUUUCAAAUUGAAACUUAAGAUCGGAAAUCUUGCUUUUAAAUCAUGUAAAACACAAGUUUUUAUCUUUGAAGUAAUCAAUCUCAUUUUUAACAAAAAAAAUCAUUAAUAAUAUAUGAAUGAAUUCUUUUAAAAAAUGUGAUUAUUUUUCAUUCCCAAAUACUUAUGUUCUAAAGGUCAAUUUUAAAGCAUACUUGUCCCUACUAUGCCUUAUAAGAGAAUAUAUUCUAUACAUGUGAUAUUGUAAAAAAGUUUAAAAAAUAAAUAAAUAAAUAAAUAAAACCUCUUUUGUUUUCCUCUUUUGACUAUAUAUCAUCAUUAUCAUACUUAAAAUUAAAUAUUCAAUCAAAAUAUUAUUUUAUUAUCAUCAAAAUUUAAAUUUAACCAAACUUUAGGCUAGUACGUUGAUAUGACAAGUUAAUUUUCUAUCUUAAAGUUUUAAAAACUUUGAAAUUAAACAUUUUCUUACACAUUUAUUUUUAAAGUUUUUAGCAUAAAAUUUAAAAUAAAAAAAUACAUUAUUUUCAAAUUCAUUUUGAAAAUUUUUAUUUUAAAAAUAAAAAAUUUAAUAAAAAAAAAUGCAGGCCAGUUUUUUUUCCCUCUUUUUACCCUACAGUUUAAUUAAUUUGAGGUUAGAGGAAAGCUAUGAAAGAAAGAAAAUAAAAAUAAAAAAGAAAAUGAAAGAAUGAAAAAUAUAGCAAAAAAAUUUAAAAGAAAAAAUCUACAAGCUAAUAUUUUUUUCUUAUUUGAGAUGAUAUUUUAUAUUUAGCUUUACUACAAGCUAAAGUCACCAAAACCAUGAUCACAAAAGGGUAAUAUUGAUAUAAUGAAAGAUUAUGAAAAAAAAAAAGUUCUAUAACAAGCAAUAUUUGCUUGACUUUCAUUUAAAAAAAUUUAAAAUCAAAAUACUUUUAGUAAAAUUAUCUAAACAUGUCAAACCUAAACGAAGUGAGUGUUUCAUAUUAAGUUAUUUUUUAAGCCAAAAAACUUAUUUUAAUAGAAUUAAUCACAUAGAUAAAAAGUUGCUAUCGUGGUGGGAAAAAGGUUUUCUUUCAUUUAUUAAAUGCUAAUAAAUUUUGAAUUAUUGAAUUCAUAAAUCUUUUAAUAAAGGUCUCAUUACGUUACAUCUAAGGUUUUAUUGUGUUGGCAUCUUAUGUCUGGUGUUAUUAUUUAUUUUAUAUCCAUUUUAUUGUUUUAUAGUUUAAUCUCAUUUGAUUGUACUAUCAUUAAAUAAUCUAAAUUUGAUUACUAUGAGAUUUUAAAGUUAGAUAUGAUGUCAAUCAUGGUAUAGAUUUUGAAAGAUAUUAUCAAAUCAAAUAUUUAGGGUAUUUGAUAAAUCAAUUUAAUAACUUAAAAUGAUUUAAUAAUUUAUUUAUAUUAAUUUAAAGUUUUCAAAUAAAUUUUUUUAUAAAUAUAAUUUUAGAUUUAAGUAAAGAUAAGUUAAUUUUAAAUUUUAAAUUAAAAUAAUUAACUCAUUCUUAGUUAAAUCUAAAACUAUAUUUAAAAUAAAUAAAAACAGAGAUGGAUAUAAAUUAAGUCAAUAACUCACUUUAAAUCAUUGACUUGAUUUACCAAACACUUCAAAAUCUCACAUUUACAAGACCUGAAGUGGAUCCUUUUCAAUGAAUAUUGUCAUAUUUGUUGGAGUGUACCCAAAAUCCAAAUAUUUCAGUCUUUUUUCUCUUUAUUUCAUUUUAAAAUAAAAUAAUAAUCAUUAUACCAUGAACUUUCAAAAGUACCAUCAUUAUGUCAGUGGAGAUGGGAAGCUGAAAGCCUGAAACAAAUCAAUGGUGAAAGACACCAGUUUUCCAACAACAAAAAAGGCCAAAUCUGAUUCCAACUCAUCCAGUCUAUCUGUGCACUUUGACAACUGAAACACUUUAUUCCAAUUCACAUUUCACUAGAAAUUCCAUUCCAUAUCUACUCAAUAUUCACUGAAAAGGGUUUACAAUGAAAUAACAACUNNNNNNNNNNNNNNNNNNNNNNNNNNNNNNNNNNNNNNNNNNNNNNNNNNNNNNNNNNNNNNNNNNNNNNNNNNNNNNNNNNNNNNNNNNNNNNNNNNNNGAAAUUCAAAGAGCAACACUACUAACAUCUCAGAAUCCUCUGUGCAAUCACUACCAAAACUUUUCCUUACACAUGAAUGAAGAAAUGAGGCUGUACAUAUAUAAUCUGCGGAUGACAACAUGCAAGAAUGCAAAUGGGGGAAAUGGGGAAACAAAUAUUCUAGACAGGGUCUUAUUGGAAAGAAUCUAGGAUUGGGGCUUGAAGAAAAAUGGAAGAAUGGCAUCAUAAGACUGCAGUCUGAGUGGGAGAAGAAUUCAGGCGGGAGAGACAGGUUGAAGAUGAGUUCAGUAAUGAGCUCUCAAGGCUUGGGCAUGGUUCAGGGAACACCCAUUGGGAGAACCCAGAGACAUUUGAGCAAACCCAAGAGAUGGAGGCAGGAGGAGUAGUUGAUAGGGAGAUGUUGGAUAGACAAAUGGAAGUGAACGGGGAUUCUUGAAUACCAGUGAAGCUUCCAGCAAUGGUUAUGUUUGUGCCGAUCACAUUCUGCAAGGUGAUGUGAUCCAAGACAGGGAGUGCAUUGGGGUCAAAAUGGUCAUCUGGGUGGGAGCCGAUUUGGCCUGUUGCACUGAAGGCUGUGUGGAUGUUUUCCAUUGCGACAUCUGAUAUGAUGAUUUCUUGGAUAUAACCACCUCUUCCCUUGGUAGUUCUGAACUCGAUGCCACUGAAUGAGUUGUAUAGGUGGACCUGCUCCACACAGACGUUAGAAAUGCCACCAGACAUCUCACUACCGAAGGCCAGGGAAGAGCCAGAUGAUGAUUGAAGGUUGACCCGUCUGAUGUGUACAUUUGUGGUGGGUCUACCAUAGGCAAUGCCAUAUUCAUCCCAGCCACUCUUGAGUGCAAUGGCAUCAUGGCCCAUGGCAAUGCUGCAAUCCUCUAUGCAGGUGCUAUCUGAAGAAUCUGAAAUCAAAACAUUAUACAAAGUUGACUUAGCAAAAUUCUUUUCAUGACUGAACCCUUCCUGAACAUAGAAAAAAGUAAAAUUAUAAUCUACAUGAACCACUAAACAAACCACAGGUAACAACCUGUUUCCUCUUUCAACAAAUAUCCCUAUCAAUAUACUUAAACAUUCAUAUAUACAUUAAAAACUAAUAUAGAUUUUCAGAAAUAUCUUACCAAUCGGAAGAGGGUUCAAACAAUAAACAAAGACAAAACAAUUCUAGCACUGAUAAUUAAAGAUCCAAAAGUUUAUCAAAUUUAGUAAAAAGAAACAGACCAAAACCUACAAAAUUAUUGUUAAACAAGUGAAAAACAAAACAUUAAAUUAUCUAUUAUCACUCUUGGAGACUGACGGUAUGAAAAUAAGUUCAAAUGCCUCAGAUUCCUUCACCUCCAUUCUUAAUUCCUAGCCUCUUCAACAACCAAGUUUCAAGUACCUUAAUUCGUCCAUCUCCAGAACUGAUAGCAAAGAAGUCCAAAGAAGGGGUAAAGGUUGUUAAUAAAUCUCGGAUAUUCGAUGGGCCCAUGGUCCUGUAUCAAAAGAAUAAAUUAAAUGUCAAAGUCCUUACAAUUCAUAAUUUACAAAUUAGAAAUGAAAUUGUAGAUAUACGAGAGGUGUUCCAAGACGUUAUUAAGGGAGAUUGACUGUAACUGCCUAUUGAUAAAGAAACAAAACAACUUACCAUGACGAAAAUAAUAUAGCUCAAAAUCACAGUAGGAAGUGCCAAAAAAAGGUGGCAAUCCUCUGAAACAUAUGAUGAAGAAGAUAUAAAAAAAUAUAUAAGAAAGACACAGCAUUAAAAAUUUUAAAGCUCGCCAAUAUGUUGCCAAUCCAGUAAAUCAUUUCAUUAACUAAACUGAUUCAGCACUUAAGCUCUAAUAACCUUUGUUUGGUAGCCGAGAAAAUGGAAGAGAAGGAGGAAAAAAAUGCAAUAUCAUGCUAUCUGUUACUGAAUCAAGCCAAACAAUUCAGUUAAACUUGGCUGAACAGCAGUUUUAGCUUUCUUAGCCUGAAUAACGAAAAUUCAAGAUUUUAUCUAUUUUACUUUCCUGCAUUUUCUCAGCUUCCCGGUUUGUCUACGGACAAACUAGAGGAAAAUAAAAUAAAAAAUAAAAAGAAAACUAAAACCAGGUAUUUUCAGUUGUUCUCCAUAAAAAGCAAACGAAAAAUCAACAGAACUAAAUCCUGAGCAAUUACCGAUCCGGCUCAGGCUGAAUUUCCGGUUCUCUUAGAAAAUAUUAUAUAGCAGUUCCAAUAAGGGACCGUCGUGCAUCAUUAUACUAAUUUUCCUCCGUUUUUCGGCAACCAAACAGAGGAUAAACUUGUUUUGAGGAGAAGAUGCACGCUUACCUGUUUUGGCGACCGGCGGCGGCGAGAUGCAAAGAAAAAGAGAGAACGAGAGAGGGGUUUUACCUGUUUUGGCGACCGGCAGCGGCUAGAAGCAAAGAAAAAGAGAGAACGAGAGUGGGGUUUUAGGAACGCAGCCGCGUAGCUGCUCAUUUCGCAAGGGCCCCUUUUUUAUUUCUUUUUCUUUUUUUUCAAUUUUAGGAUUUUUCAUUUUAGCCUCCAUAUUUGAGUGUAUUUAGAUUUGUGGAACCUGUUUUGGGGCUUUUUGUUAGGUACAAUUGAGAUGGGCUGAACCGAAAAGCCCGCCAGGAUGAACAACAUUAAUGGGCCUGAAUUUUAAACCUAUGAAUGGGCUUUAUACUGGAUUCAGCUGUCUGAGCCCAAUGAGUAUUGAAUGUGUUUCUGUAUAAAAUUAAACUUUUAACAUUGAAAUAUGAGGACUUACUUAAAAACACAUUUGGUAACUUUUUUUUUUGGUUAAUAAUGGACUUUAAGAAAAAAUUAAAAAUAUAUUAUUUUUUAGAAUAAAUUUGAGGCAUGUUUAGGUAUUUUUUGUGGUAAAGAGUUUUGAGAAGCAAUAGAAAAUAUAUAGAAUACUUUAAAAACUUUUGCAUAAGAUACUUACUUACACGAGGCUUUCAUGAAAAAUAAAUCGAUAAAAACAAUUUUCAUAUUUGAAUUGCGAAACAUAAAACAACUCAAAACUGUUUUUAAGCAUUGUUCUUAAAAAUAGUUUUCUAUUAAGUCACAAUCAAGGAAGCUUUUAUCUUUUAUUUUUCUAUGUUUCAUCCUUGCAUAAAGGGAGUAUAAAGACUAAAGUUAAUCUAAUUAACAAAUUUGGAUAAUCAUCCAAUAAAUGAGUAAAUUAGGUGAUGAUCUCUUUAUAUAUGCAAGUAAUGGAAUGAAUGUGAUGAAAAAUAGAAAAAAGUAAGGGGAGAAAUGUUGUAAAUAAAGUGUUUUUAUUGUGGUUCAAUGACCAAUCCACUUCCACACCUUGACAUAUUUCACAAUUUUAAAAGUUUUCUUAAUCAUGAUUCUCCUUAUUAUUUUUUAAGUCCGGAUUUCUUAAGUUUCAAUAGACUUUUACAAUCACUAAGAUGGUGUUUAUUUUUUCACUUAAUUCUAAAUAUAAGUUAAAACUAAAUAAUAUUUAAUAAUAUCAAGUAUUAGGUUGUUUUUUUUUAUAACAUUUUAUUUUUAUAUAAUAUUAAAAAGUAAAGAAAAAUCAAUAUGUUAUUUUUUUCAUUUAAAAAAAGACAAAUAUUUUGCCUUUUUUUUAAGCUAAAAAUUUAUAAUAAAAAAAAAAAAGCAAACAAUUUAAAGUGUAAAACAGAUUGUUUUCAACAAAAAUUUAAAAAAACAAACACUUUCUAAAUAAGAUUCCUUAGCCACUUGUACAAUGGCUUCUUUAAGCACAAAAUGUAAUAAAUGAAUACAACUCUGGUGAAAUGACUAAAGUGCUCACAAUGAGAAGAUAAACAAGUUUGGAUUCAAUAUAAUUUUGGGUUAUCUAAUUAAAAUGGUCAUUGAAAACCCAAUUUUGGAAAUAUAACCCUUCGUCAUUUUUUUACCUCAUUUUAACAAAAAAAAGCUCUUAUUAUUUUCCUAUAAAAAUAAUCAUUCCUUUUAAAACACACUAUAAAUACUUCAAAUAGCCCAAGGUUUUUAUGUAAAAAAAAAUGAAUUACUCUUCAAAUAAAAAUAUUGGAGGGAAUAAAUUCACAAAUAUGGGUAUUUCAUCUCUUUUAACUAAUUAUUUCUAUAAUUUUAAGAGUUUAAGAAGGCUAGACAAAGACUAAUUAUUGGACUUUUUUUUUUAUAAUCAAUGGAAGACAGGAAUACAAUCGACUACUUUGAUCAAUUAAGCAAUUAUACAGUUGACAAUAAACUAGUCGUUAGACAUUUUUUUUUAUAAUAAUUGGAAGACAUGAAUACAAUCGAUUACUUUGGUCAAUUAAUCAAUUAUUUAAGAAAUUUAAAAAAAUAUUGGAUAAAAGAUAUAUAUAUAUAUAACGAAUUAUUUCAAAUUGAAACUUAAGAUCAGAAAUCGUGCUUUUAAUGUUGAAAAAUCAUGUAAAACACAAGUUUUUAUCUUUGAAGUAAUCAAUUCAUUUUUCACAAAAAAUCAUUAAUAAUACAUUAAUGAAUUCUUUUAAAAAAUCUUAUAAAAAAUGUGAUUAUUUUUCAUUCCCAAAUACUUAGGUUCUAAAGGUCAAUUUUAAAGCAUACUUAUCCUUACUAUGCCUUACAAGAAAAUCUAUUCUAUACAUAUGAUUUUGUAAAAAAGUGUAAAUAAAAAAAAUAAAAAAUAAAAAAUAAAAAAUAAAAAAAACCUCUCUUGUUUUCCUCUUUUGAUUGGAUAUCAUUAUUAUACUUAAAAUUAAAUAUUUAAUCAAAAUAUUAUUUUACUAUCAUCAAAAUUUAGAUUUAACCAAACUUUAGGCUAGUAUGUUGAUAUGACAAGUUAAUUUUCUAUCUUAAAGUUUUAAAAACUUUUGAAAUUAAACAUUUUCUUACACAUUUAUUUUUAAAGUUUUUAGCAUAAAAUUUAAAAUUAAAGCUUUUAAGGAAAAACCUCAUAAUACAAUAUACUAGAAAGACAUGGUCAAACAGAUAGAGAGGAAGCCUCGAAAGGAAGGGGCAAUGGUUGAACCACUUGACAUUGUUGCCUACUACUAAGAUGGUGUAAGAAACAACAUAACCAAUGGAACAUAUGCACAUUAAACAUUGUAUAAUUAUUAUAAAUGUCUUAUACAUUAUAUGUGAAAAUACGAAAAAAAAAAUAAAAUAAAAUUAUAUUCAACAUUUAUAUUUGUAUACAAACAAUAUUUUCAAUACUUUGAUAUAAAAAACAAAUUAAAAAAAUGAAGAAAAACAUAUAAAUAUAUUUACAAUGGACAAACUUAUUCAAUUAGUAUAAAUAUCUUGUAUAUUUAAUACAAAUACCUUAUACUUUGUGAAAAUGUAAAAAUAUAGUAUUUGAUAUUGAUACAUGUGGGUAAGUAAUUUUUCUAAUGGUUUGAUUUAAAAAACAAAUAAUGAGAAUCAAGAAAAACAUGCAAAUAAAUUAGUGUGAAUGAUAAAGGGUGUUUUUUACCAUAAAUUUUUAUGGACUUAGCAUCAAUUAUGCAUCUAUAGAUGUUAACCCAAUUAGCAUAAUGUGAAAACCCUUACACACAAUAUAUAAACCCUAUACUUGAAUUAGGAAGGACAAAAAAAAAAAUAGUUAGAGCAUUUGGUACCAUCAAUGAUGACUUCACCUAAAGAAAAGUUAAUGAACAUUAUGUUCUCAAUGGAAGAGCAACCCUAGUAGGACAUAUGGAGUAAAUUGAUGCUCUUCUUUCGACAACGAAGUAGCUAAGUCAUGAAAAUGGGGUUUUGCUAACAACAUUAAAUGCAAGAAUUCCCCAAUAUACUGCAAUUCAUAUUCAAUUCAUAGACUUUCAACUAACUACUCUCAAUAACGAGCAAACCCAAGUCAAUACAUAAGAUUGAUUAUUACUUAUGAUAAUUGAAACCCUAAUUAAUAAAUAAGGACACAAAUAUAUGUAUAUAUAUAUAUAUAUAUAUAUAUAUAUAUAUAAAAUAGAGACAAUUGUGUUUUGGACCCAGGUGGAUCAAAAAUUAAGGUUUGGUUCAUAAAACUUACAUAAUUGAUGGAAAUGAUAUAAGUUAUCAAAAUACCAAAAUACUCAUUGAUCUUUCACGUAAGCUUUUUUUGUCUUUAUUGCACCACUAUUCAUGCAACCAUAAUAAUUCUAUUUUAACUAUUUGGAUUUUUCAUUAUUUUUUAAAACUUUUUUUUUAUAAAUAAUUGAAAAUCAACAUUAUUUUCUAUUUUAAAUUAUAAAUAAAGAAAAAUUACGUUCAAAAACUAUUUUAAAAAAUAAUUUCUAAAAAAAUGGUAAUAUGAUUUAUAUUUUUUAUAUUUUCUUUUAGAAAAAAAUAUUUAAUUAAAAAAUGAAAAAUAUUUUUCAAAAUAAAAAUUGAAAACCUUGUUUAGUACUAUUUUUUUAUAUGAAAAUAAUAAAAAUAAUUAAUUUAUUAUCCAUUCAAUUUUAUAUGAAAAUUUUUUAUAAGAGUAAAAAGAUUCAAUAUCUUUAAUAAAAGAAAAAAAAAACAAAACAAAAAGUUAGAAAUAAGUAAUACUUAAUUAGGAAUAGAAAAAGGGAAAAAUUUUGAAAUUUACACUCACUAUAUGCCUAUGUAGGGAUUAAAGGUAUUUUAUGAAUUAAUGAAGGAUAAUAUUUUUUAACUUAAUUUUUACAAUUUAUUUGGGUCUUGGGCUUAAAUGUGAAUGAUAUAUGGAUCUUUAGUCAAUUUUUGGGCCCAUCCGGGCCCAAAACACAAUUCUCCCUAAAAAACUAUUUAUUAAAAUCAAUAAACUAAUAAAAACCAUUUAGAGAGUUUCAUAACUUAGUGUCGAAGCUAUUGUAAGAAAUAAGUAUUAUAUAAUGUAGAGUUUAGGUUUAAAGUCUACCUAAGAUUAAAUUUAAGUCUUAAGACAAAUUCACAUUCAAAACUAGGUUUUUAAGUUAGAAAAAUAGAUCUCUUAAACCAAUUAAAUGGUAAAAAAAAUUACAAAGAAAAUUUCUCUUGCUGGUUUCUUCAUCUUGAAAACUAACGGAAACAUAUAUCAAUAUUUGGUAUGAAAAUUCGUAACCUUAGAAACACAGCUUUGGGUCUUGCUGAGAAAAACAAAGCUUAUUUGCUCGUAGACCAUCCUGGUGGUCAUCAUACCGUGUGAGAACCGGGGAAGCAUCUUUUCUCGUAGACCGGCUUUUGUAGUCUUUCUUUAACAAUUACAAGUUGUCAGGAUUCCCUUCAUCCUCCUAUAUAAUAUUGUUUUUGGUCUUGUUCUGGUUGUAUCUCCGUGGAAGAAAGGAAGAUGAAUCAAGUUCCUUUGUAAGUAUCAAUGUCUCUGAUUCAUUUUUUGGUUCCUAGAAUCGAAUCCUCGCUUUGUUCUUGCUUAAUUUCUCCUUUUUCUGUUGGGUCUUUCACUGCAGGUUUAGCUCUGCACGGGAACUGGCAAAUUUGGUGCUGAGCUCCAAUCUAAUCGACUGUGCUUUGACCAAAAUUCUUGAACUUAACAGAGACCAAACAGCCUUGCCUGUUCAAUACAGACUUUUUCAACUGUCUUCCAAGUGCACAAUUGUAGCUUUUGUCUCUUCACCUGACUGCACUCAAUACCCUCUUCCUGGACAAGGAGAUUUAGAUCGGUCUCCUCUCUUUGACUUCCUCCGUACCGAAGAAUACCCGUCCGUCUCCAUUAACAGAGCAGCAUUAACCCUCUAUACCCCUCUCCAUGAUCAUCUCUCUGGACUAACAGAUGAGGUCAAAAUCUGAUACUUGUUUGAAUUUUCGUUUCCUUUUCGUUAACAAUUGUGAGACACGAAACAGCUUGACCAUGAGAUCUCCCUCAUGGAGUCGAACUACCUGAAGGAUAAGACGUCACACAUAUCCAUUUUCAUGGCAUCGUCACAUGACCCAUUGAUCGGUUGUGAUUCAACUCUUAACAGGAAUACAGUAGAACUGGUGUUGGUAUCUGUCUUUAGAUAAGCUUGCAUAUAUCUUGUCACUGAAAAAGGAAUGUUCAGAAGUGAGAUUAGUGGCAUUAUUCUGACAUGGAUUUCAUAUGGUUACUUGUUUUGCAGUUGACUCAGAUUGAAGGUCAGUUAAUCAUCACUGGGUACUCCCUGGGAGGAUCCGUUGCUUCUCUCUUCACCUUACGCCUGCUAGAUGGCAAUUUAUUAAAGCCCAAAUGCCGCCCCUUUUGUAUCACCUUUGGUUCACCCCUCAUAGGCGACUUUGGCCUCCAACACUCCAUAUGGAAUUCUUUCUUCCUGCAUGUAGUGUCUAACCAAGACCCAGUCCCCGGACUCUUCCUCCCAUCCGGCAGAUCUCCGCCCACAUCCUCCCAUUCACAAACUACCGGUUACAAGCCCUUCGGGACAUAUCUCUUGUGCUCUGAACUUGGUUGUGCUUGUUUUGACAACCCUGAUUUAAUUUUGGGAUUGCUUAAAGUCAUAUCAUCAGAGGUUGCCGGAGGAUUGCAGGAUGUUGAUUAUGGGGAGAUUUUAAGAAACCUCAAGGAGAGGGCAAUCUGCAAGGGACUGCCGCAGGUGGGUGAACGGUUUGCAGAUCCAUUUUCAGCUGGGAUCGUCAUGGAACUUGAGACAAUUGGAUUUAAUCAAACAAAGGUAAACAGCUUUCUCCCAUCUAAUGAUGUUAUGAAACAUGGUUUACACUUCACCAAAUACUGCAAUAACUGCCCUAUUCAGAUUUAUCUUCUUGUUCUUUGGGAUCUUCCAUAACUCGUCUCAUUUUUAAAAUUCAUGGCAGCUGCUGCAGCAUAACAUUGAUAUCAACGCUAUGAUAAGAACAAUGGAAGCUGAAACCAGAAGCCUAAUCCAGAAAAAUAAAGCUUCCGAUGCCAAGAAACUGAAUGACAUAAAAAGAGACAUGGCCCAUCUAGAAUGGUAUAAGAAGAAAUCGGAAAUGGGUUACUACGAUUGCUUCAAAAAUCAGGGGUCUAAAAGGGACAUCAACGUUGAACAGUUUAGGGGAAACCUCACAAUGUACUGGGAAGACAUGGUUGCACAAGUACAGAGGAAGCCCCAGAAGGAAGGAGCAACAUUUCGAACCCGUUGGCUCUAUGCAGGGACAGUUUAUAGGAGAAUGGUUGAACCACUGGACAUUGCUGCCUUCUACAGAGAGGG